RNAcentral lists this ribosomal RNA (698 nucleotides) under uncultured bacterium. RNAcentral describes it as "bacterial SSU rRNA". It matches the Rfam family "Bacterial small subunit ribosomal RNA", at positions 8 to 762 of the family's 1533-position model. The record is from RNAcentral.
AGAGUUUGAUCCUGGCUCAGAACGAACGCUGGCGGCAGGCUUAACACAUGCAAGUCGAACGAUAUAGUGGCAGACGGGUGAGUAACGCGUGGAAACGUGCCUUUCACUACGGAAUAGCUUUUGGAAACGAAAGGUAAUACCGUAUACGCCCUCCGGGGGAAAGAUUUAUCGGUGAAAGAUCGGUCCGCGUUAGAUUAGCUAGUUGGUGAGGUAACGGCUCACCAAGGCUACGAUCUAUAGCUGGUCUGAGAGGAUGAUCAGCCACACUGGGACUGAGACACGGCCCAGACUCCUACGGGAGGCAGCAGUGGGGAAUAUUGCACAAUGGGCGCAAGCCUGAUGCAGCCAUGCCGCGUGAAUGAUGAAGGCCUUAGGGUUGUAAAAUUCUUUCGCCAGGGAUGAUAAUGACAGUACCUGGUAAAGAAGCCCCGGCUAACUUCGUGCCAGCAGCCGCGGUAAUACGAAGGGGGCUAGCGUUGUUCGGAAUUACUGGGCGUAAAGCGCACGUAGGCGGACUUUUAAGUCAGAUGUGAAAUCCCGAGGCUCAACCUCGGAACUGCAUUUGAAACUGGGAGUCUAGAGAUCAGGAGAGGUUAGCGGAAUACCGAGUGUAGAGGUGAAAUUCGUAGAUAUUCGGUGGAACACCAGUGGCGAAGGCGGCUAACUGGACUGAUACUGACGCUGAGGUGCGAAAGUGU